RNAcentral lists this ribosomal RNA (497 nucleotides) under uncultured bacterium. RNAcentral describes it as "partial 16S ribosomal RNA". It matches the Rfam family "Bacterial small subunit ribosomal RNA", at positions 28 to 507 of the family's 1533-position model. The record is from RNAcentral.
GACGAACGCUGGCGGCGUGCCUAAUACAUGCAAGUUGAGCGAUGAAGAUUGGUGCUUGCACCAAUUUGAAGAGCAGCGAACGGGUGAGUAACGCGUGGGGAAUCUGCCUUUGAGCGGGGGACAACAUUUGGAAACGAAUGCUAAUACCGCAUAACAACUUUAAACAUAAGUUUUAUGUUUGAAAGAUGCAAUUGCAUCACUCAAAGAUGAUCCCGCGUUGUAUUAGCUAGUUGGUGAGGUAAAGGCUCACCAAGGCGAUGAUACAUAGCCGACCUGAGAGGGUGAUCGGCCACAUUGGGACUGAGACACGGCCCAAACUCCUACGGGAGGCAGCAGUAGGGAAUCUUCGGCAAUGGACGAAAGUCUGACCGAGCAACGCCGCGUGAGUGAAGAAGGUUUUCGGAUCGUAAAACUCUGUUGGUAGAGAAGAACGUUGGUGAGAGUGGAAAGCUCAUCAAGUGACGGUAACUACCCAGAAAGGGACGGCUAACUACGUG